Anopheles darlingi is the source of this 1136-nucleotide long non-coding RNA. RefSeq lists it as uncharacterized. The record is from RefSeq and is a predicted model, not a curated record. NCBI's taxonomy places the organism in Eukaryota, Metazoa, Arthropoda, Insecta, Diptera, Culicidae. The transcript is spliced from 4 exons.
CUACUAUUUUAGGGUCUUGAAAGAGGAAACGGAAAUGGUUGGAUGUAUGUGGCGGCUUGCCCUACGGCGUUCGCGAACGCGAUUUGAAGCGAUUUUCCAAGGGGUAUGGUCGAGCCCGCGAUAUUCUGAUCAAGAAUGGAUAUGGUUUUGUGGAAUUCGAAGACUACCGGGAUGCCGAUAAUAAGCUAGGAGAGAGAUACGAAUGAUCUGGAUCUACUUCUCUCAGUAUAUGAUCAGCUAUUAAUUGUAUAUUUUCGAAGUCUCGAAGUCACCCAGCCGCUCCAAGUCCAAGAACGGCUCGAAAUCGGCCGAAAAGUCUCGCUCGCGCUCCCGUUCCAACAAAUCCCGUGACAACAGCAAAUCGAAAUCACGAUCCCGCUCGCCGAAACGCGAUCGCGAUGAGUCGCGUUCUCGCUCUCGAUCCCGCGACCGUUCCCAGUCGCAGGACAAAUCAAAUGAUAAAUCGCGAUUGGCAUCUCCCAAAAAUAACGAUCACGCUCCAGAGCGUAAUGAAAGUAGAUUAAAUACGUUCGAUUAUCUUUUAUAGUAGUGCUGACAGAGAAGAAAAAGAAUCGGGAUGUCCACAUCCACUACUUCUUCUUGAGCUGGUGCAUCUUUCAUUACCUUAUCAAUCUUUUCACUUCUACUGUCACAUUUCAUGCAGACAAUACAUACAAUUGAAUAGAAAUUUCGGCAAGAGCUGGCACGGUUGUUAUGGUGUGCCUCGACAGUCGUGUGCGGAGGGCGGGCUUAGGGCAGCCGCAACGGCGGCAGCAAAGCAGGGCACUGCGUGCUCUAGAGCGGCAGCGGUGCUGUGACCUACGGCAGCACCGCAAGGCGCCACGAGCGCGCCUAAAGCGGUGAAGGAGUAGGAGGGAGGAACGGGGCAGCACGGCUGCUGUUAGAGGCUGCGAAUGCAAAGCGUGCCAGGGGGAGAGGAAAAUAACAGAAGGUCAGGGCAGAUAAACAGGUCCACGGCCCCCCUCUAUAGGCCCCCAUGGGCCUCUAGUCGCCACCAGGUGUUGGCAAUGUUGGCAGCCUAGGAGGGGGGCUUGGAGAGAUGACCGUUUUUUAUGUAAAUAUAGGAUAUAAGUAGCAAAAAUAAAUAAAUGGUCAGAUUAAAAAAAAAAAGAAAU